Molecule: ribosomal RNA, 465 nt
Filed under: uncultured bacterium
Lineage: Bacteria
Description: partial 16S ribosomal RNA
Rfam family: Bacterial small subunit ribosomal RNA
Source: RNAcentral
CUACGGGGCGCACCAGUGGGGAAUAUUGGACAAUGGGGGAAACCCUGAUCCAGCAAUGCCGCGUGUGUGAAGAAGGCCUGCGGGUUGUAAAGCACUUUCGGUUGGGAGGACUGCUUCUAGCACUAAUAUUGUUGGAAGUUGACGUUACCUUCAGAAGAAGCACCGGCUAACUCCGUGCCAGCAGCCGCGGUAAUACGGAGGGUGCAAGCGUUAAUCGGAAUUACUGGGCGUAAAGCGCGCGUAGGCGGCUAGAUCAGUCGGGUGUGAAAGCCCCGGGCUUAACCUGGGAACUGCAUCCGAUACUGUCUAGCUUGAGUACAGGAGAGGAGAGUGGAAUUCCACAUGUAGCGGUGAAAUGCGUAGAUAUGUGGAGGAACACCAAUGGCGAAGGCAGCUCUCUGGCCUGAUACUGACGCUGAGGUCCGAAAGCGUGGGGAGCAAACAGGAUUAGAUACCCCAGUAGUC